GUAAGGGAUAUUGCGCAAUGGGCGAAAGCCUGACGCAGCAACGCCGCGUGGAGGAUGACAGCCUUCGGGUUGUAAACUCCUUUUGGGGCUGACGAGGAAGGACGGUAAGCCCUGAAGAAGUCACGGCUAACUACGUGCCAGCAGCCGCGGUAAAACGUAGGUGGCGAGCGUUAUCCGGAUUUACUGGGCGUAAAGCGUGUGCAGGCGGGGCGUCAAGUGGUGCAUGAAAUCGCUCGGCUUAACCGGGCGGGGUUGUGCCAGACUGAUGCUCUCGAGUGCGGGAGAGGGGCGUGGAAUUCCGGGUGUAGUGGUGAAAUGCGUAGAGAUCCGGAGGAACCCCAGAGGCGAAGGCGGCGCCCUGGCCCGACACUGACGCUCAGACACGACAGCAUGGGGAGCGAACGGGAUUAGAAACCCCUGUAGUCC
This 426-nucleotide ribosomal RNA is filed under the name uncultured bacterium. RNAcentral describes it as "bacterial SSU rRNA". It matches the Rfam family "Bacterial small subunit ribosomal RNA", at positions 354 to 796 of the family's 1533-position model. The record is from RNAcentral.